UACUGCCACCGCGCUAUCUACGCCCCCACGCUCUCCCCGCGCGAUGACUCCGCCGCCGCGCCUCCUCGCGCUGCUCAGAUGCGCGCUGCGCCUCCCGACGCUUCCUCGCUCCAGGCCGCCGUCGUCAUCGCACGGUCCCGACCCCUCCAGUAUCCCCCCCAUCCCGCCUCCUCCUCCACCGCGUCGCCGAUGGCUCCAUGUCGUCGUCGUCGUCGCGCGGUCCCGGCUGGCUGUCCACCGCGCCAUCACAGAUCCAGCCAUCCCUCAUACCGGACUCCCCCAUCCUGACGGCCCCAUCCCAGCGGCGAGGAGGCGUCGUCGCGCGGGAGAUGACUGGUGGGGAGAGUGAAGAGGGAGAGGCGGAUGGCAACCCUCCCUCUGUCACGCUCGCUCUCCAAUCCCCCUUCACAGUCGAGCCCUGCGUCGUCGCCUUCCCCCGCCGAUGCCACCACAUCAAGGCACCUCACGCAUGGAGCUCUUUCCCCGAAGCCGGACGUAAUGGCCGGUCCCUCGCUAAGGCGCCCAGCAGAUCCGGCCAGUUGCCUCAGCAACAGAGAGUCCACGGACUUCUCCACUGCUCUGUAAGAGGAUCUGGACUCUUCUGCCAACGAGGCCACUGUCUGAUCCACCAUCGUAGGGGAUUCUUUCCGUUCCCUAAAUGCACCACAUAUCUUCCCCUCCGGAAUUUUUUUUUUCGAAUGAAAUUGAUAGAAUACCAAUGGCUGUUGCAACAAGACGUGAGGACUGGCAAGCCAUCUCUUGAUAUGUUUCUUGCUGAGAUGAGGAGGUUCGAGGUAUUGCCAUCAGCAGUUAAAAAUUGCUGGAAUGUGACUUCGCUCCUCCUCGCUCGCUCGCUCCUCCUCGCUCCUGUGUACUGCCACCGCGCCGCCGCAUCCUCGCCGGAGCCACUAUCUUCUCCAUCCGCCGCCGGAGCCGAGGUCCAUCUUACAGUUUAAUUCCUCACUGAAUGUUGACUAUCCCUGCCAAUCAAUCACACGAUUCCCUCUGAAUGCUAAUCCAUUCAAUUAAUUUCCUGGACUGGUAAUAUCUCUCCCAUAGUGGGGAAUCAUGUGUCUUUUGUACAAAUUACACAGGUUAUUAAACUGGAUUCUCCAUUUCACUUUAGAAGUUGAUUUUCUUGCUUUCUUGGCUAUAUUUCCUGUCAUCACAUCUUACAUUUACAAGUAGGAAUGAAAUGAUGGCCGACUACCUUCUUGAUCACUGCGAUGUGCCCCUUCGCUUCAAGGAUAUGCAUAAAUCCAAGGUUGACAUUGUGGCCAACUGGAGAUUUUGGUAAAAUCCUAUCAUGUUUCACCAUGGCAUUUCACUGUUUGGCGCACGGUAUUUAGGAGCUAUUUGUAUAGUAAAUGCUGGAAUAUUGAAGUAAAUUAUAUGUUCAGCUUAUUAACUGCAUUGCGAUAAGCUUUGAUCUAGAUCCGGUUUCAAUUUUCAUUUGUGUGGUCGCAUCCUUUAAUUUAUAUAGCUUCAUAAGAGUAUACUCCGAAGUACAUGCCGUUUUAUGUAUUUUUAUGCCUUCAUAUUCUGAUUGUCUAAUGGCUCUAAAACAACAGACGUAAACUACGAUGUCUGAAGUUUUCCAUGUUUUCUUCCUUAUGAAAAUGAUAUGGAGCUGUGGCAAGCUGCUUUGGCAAUCCCUGUUGCUGUCCAGAGUAAAGAUUUUCAUGUGGCUUGCGCUAAAGGGCAGAUGCCUCAUGGCUGACAAUCUACAGAAAAGAGGAUUUGGAGAUUGCUCAGGAGCUAGGUGAAUGUUGGCUUUCCGCUUCCCAGUGACCUCAAUGUAGACUUGGCUGAUUGGCGGAUGGCUUCAAGGAGAAGCUUCAGAGAUUAUCUCAGAAAAGUUUUCGGUACACUCUUCUUCAGAGAUUGUCUCAGCAAGUUGUAUGGUUGUGCAGCUCUUUGGUGACAUCAAAGAAAUCACAAUCUGGAGGGAGGCAGGCUUCAUGGUAGGCGAAAAACGAUUGGCAUUAUUCCUUUUGCAGUUUUUUCUCUCCCACUCUUUGUAACCGGUUUCGACAACUUCGUGUGGACGCUUAGUUUGUAACACCAUCUCAUAAUCUUAAUGAAUUUGCUUAGCCUACUCUUGGGCCAGUCUGGCUAAAAUAAAUGUAAUCAGAGUUAUACUUCAUUUGUUGGAAACAUAACUUGUAAAAUAAAACUAAUCAUUUUUAUCCUUA
Non-coding RNA from Oryza sativa Japonica Group (Japanese rice), 2195 nucleotides. The record is from RefSeq and is a predicted model, not a curated record. NCBI's taxonomy places the organism in Eukaryota, Viridiplantae, Streptophyta, Magnoliopsida, Poales, Poaceae.